CCUACGGGAGGCUGCAGUGAGGAAUAGUGGUCAAGGGACGAGAGUCUGAACCAGCCAAGUAGCGUGAAGGAUGACUGCCCUAUGGGUUGUAAACUUCUUUUAUAAAGGAAUAAAACGAGGCACGUGUGCCUUUUUGCAUGUACUUUAUGAAUAAGGAUCGGCUAACUCCGUGCCAGCAGCCGCGGUAAGACGGAGGAUCCGAGCGUUAUCCGGAUUUAUUGGGUUUAAAGGGAGCGUAGAUGGGUUGUUAAGUCAGUUGUGAAAGUUUGCGGCUCAACCGUAAAAUUGCACUUGAUACUGGCAGUCUUGUGUACAGUUGCGGUAGGCGGAAUUCGUGGUGUAGCGG
RNAcentral lists this ribosomal RNA (346 nucleotides) under uncultured bacterium. Its description in RNAcentral is "partial 16S ribosomal RNA". It matches the Rfam family "Bacterial small subunit ribosomal RNA", at positions 338 to 681 of the family's 1533-position model. The record is from RNAcentral.